AAAUUUUCUUGAAGAGGCGGAGCUCCCAGGGCGAGACGAGGGCAUUGCACUGCGCUCGUGUUGACCCCUGCCACUACCCCAAACUGGGGCAGAUGGGGCAUGCAAUUUUUGGUAGUGGGGGACUGCGUUCGCGCUAUCCCCCU
This 143-nucleotide small nuclear RNA is filed under the name Haemaphysalis longicornis (longhorned tick). RNAcentral describes it as "U1 spliceosomal RNA". It matches the Rfam family "U1 spliceosomal RNA". From Rfam's summary of the family: U1 is a small nuclear RNA (snRNA) component of the spliceosome (involved in pre-mRNA splicing). Its 5' end forms complementary base pairs with the 5' splice junction, thus defining the 5' donor site of an intron. There are significant differences in sequence and secondary structure between metazoan and yeast U1 snRNAs, the latter being much longer (568 nucleotides as compared to 164 nucleotides in human). Lineage: Eukaryota; Metazoa; Arthropoda; Arachnida; Ixodida; Ixodidae. The record is from Rfam by way of RNAcentral.